AUACGAUACAUAAAGACAAUACUAACACAUAAUAUGGUAAAAUAUAUUGUCAUUUUAUGAGUGCAGUAUCCCUAAGCAGAUAAGUGUAUGAGACAAUUUGCUGAUAUUUUAUCACGGAUAACCAAUGAAAGUUCUAAAGCUUGUUUCCAAUGGGGUCCCUUCAUGUAAACGGCUUAUAGUGUUCGGCAUACAAAAAAAGAUAACACACAAAUUAGUAUGACAUGAAAAUUCAUAUAAAAAGUAAUUUAUAUAAAAAUAUGAUUAAUAAUACAAGUUUUAAUUUUAAUACGCUAGAAGUGCAUUUUGUCCACACAAAACUUACUAGUGACGCCCAGAUACAAAAGUUUGAAAGACGAAACAAGUACAAAGUUGAACAGCAUCGCGGACCAAAAGUUCAAAAAAGUUAUGCCAAAAACGGCCAGGGUUUUCUGUUAGGUACCAGAACAUCCCUAUUAUUUAGAAUAAUUCAUACUUUUGCAAACAGUAAAUUUUAUAAAAUUACUAUACAAAAGAUAUACAUGAUAAAACUGAAGUAUUAACUAAUUACAGGAAACAACCGAAAUACAUUACAUAACCCGACAAA
Molecule: long non-coding RNA, 583 nt
Filed under: Mytilus galloprovincialis (Mediterranean mussel)
Lineage: Eukaryota; Metazoa; Mollusca; Bivalvia; Mytilida; Mytilidae
Source: RNAcentral